Non-coding RNA from Paramuricea clavata, 321 nucleotides. The record is from the annotation of a GenBank genome assembly. Lineage: Eukaryota; Metazoa; Cnidaria; Anthozoa; Malacalcyonacea; Plexauridae.
GCAUGAGUGGAUUGAAAAUAGGUUGAUAAAUUCGCCUACUUCCGAGUGUACUCUCGUAUCAAGCGUUUCUUCACAUUCUUCACGUUUUAUUCCUGUUUCAUACGUUUUGGUACGGUACGCUUAAAUUGGAAAACAGCCUUAAUCUGUGUGGAUUACAAUGGCGAGAUCAUUACACAUGAAUUGAAUAUAUGUAUUCUCUUCUUUGUUAUUUUAUACGAGUUUCUUACGGCUACAGGUGCAUGGUAAACAGCGAGUCGCUUAUUUUUACGGAGAUUUGCAUUUUGAUACCACAUAAAAUAUCCAAUAUUUCUUGUAGUUUUC